This 425-nucleotide ribosomal RNA is filed under the name uncultured cyanobacterium. RNAcentral's name for it is "bacterial SSU rRNA". It matches the Rfam family "Bacterial small subunit ribosomal RNA", at positions 355 to 795 of the family's 1533-position model. Lineage: Bacteria; Bacillati; Cyanobacteriota. The record is from RNAcentral.
UGGGGAAUUUUCCGCAAUGGGCGAAAGCCUGACGGAGCAACGCCGCGUGAGGGAUGAAGGCCUCUGGGCUGUAAACCUCUUUUCUCAAGGAAGAAGAUCUGACGGUACUUGAGGAAUAAGCCACGGCUAAUUCCGUGCCAGCAGCCGCGGUAAUACGGGAGUGGCAAGCGUUAUCCGGAAUUAUUGGGCGUAAAGCGUCCGCAGGCGGCCCUGUAAGUCUGUCGUUAAAGCGUGGAGCUUAACUCCAUUUAAGCGAUGGAAACUGCCAGGCUUGAGUGUGGUAGGGGCAGAGGGAAUUCCCGGUGUAGCGGUGAAAUGCGUAGAUAUCGGGAAGAACACCAGUGGCGAAGGCGCUCUGCUGGGCCAUAACUGACGCUCAUGGACGAAAGCCAGGGGAGCGAAAGGGAUUAGAUACCCCUGUAGUC